RNAcentral lists this ribosomal RNA (936 nucleotides) under uncultured bacterium. RNAcentral's name for it is "bacterial SSU rRNA". It matches the Rfam family "Bacterial small subunit ribosomal RNA", at positions 57 to 1000 of the family's 1533-position model. The record is from RNAcentral.
GCAAGUCGAACGGUCUCUAGCAAUAGAGAUAGUGGCGCACGGGUGCGUAACGCGUAACCAACCUACCCGAAUCUGGGGGAUAGCCCGCCGAAAGGCGGAUUAAUACCGCAUAAAACGGCAGACCGGCAUCGGUUCACCGUUAAAGAUUUAUUGGAUUCGGAUGGGGUUGCGUGCCAUUAGCUAGUUGGCGGGGUAACGGCCCACCAAGGCGACGAUGGCUAGGGGAGCUGAGAGGCUGGUCCCCCACACGGGCACUGAGAUACGGGCCCGACUCCUACGGGAGGCAGCAGUAGGGAAUAUUGGGCAAUGGUCGAGAGACUGACCCAGCCAUGCCGCGUGCAGGAUGAAGGCUUUCUGAGUCGUAAACUGCUUUUACCAGGGAAGAAAAAAGGGGAUGCGUCCUCUACUGACGGUACCUGGUGAAUAAGCACCGGCUAACUCCGUGCCAGCAGCCGCGGUAAUACGGAGGGUGCAAGCGUUGUCCGGAUUUAUUGGGUUUAAAGGGUGCGUAGGCGGCUUUUUAAGUCCGGGGUGAAAGCCCGUUGCUCAACAACGGAACUGCCCCGGAAACUGGAGAACUUGAGUACAGACGAGGGUGGCGGAAUGGACGGUGUAGCGGUGAAAUGCAUAGAUACCGUCCAGAACCCCGAUUGCGAAGGCAGCUGCCUAGACUGUAACUGACGCUGAGGCACGAAAGCGUGGGGAGCGAACAGGAUUAGAUACCCUGGUAGUCCACGCCGUAAACGAUGGAUACUCGCUGCGGGCGAUAGGCGGUCCGUGGCUUAGCGAAAGCGUUAAGUAUCCCACCUGGGGGAGUACGCUCGCAAGAGUGAAACUCAAAAGAAUUGACGGGGGCCCGCACAAGUGGUGGAGCAUGUGGUUUAAUUCGAUGAUACGCGAGGAACCUUACCUAGGCUAGAAUGCGCGUGACCGGUC